AUGCUUGCUUCAGCAGCACAUAUACUAAAAUUGGUAUGAUACAGAGAUUAGCACGGCCUCUGCUCAAGGAUGACAUGCAAUUUCAUGAAACAUUCCACUUAAGA
RNAcentral lists this small nuclear RNA (104 nucleotides) under Carlito syrichta (Philippine tarsier). Lineage: Eukaryota; Metazoa; Chordata; Mammalia; Primates; Tarsiidae. The record is from RNAcentral.